Molecule: non-coding RNA, 120 nt
Filed under: Symbiodinium sp. clade D
Lineage: Eukaryota; Dinophyceae; Suessiales; Symbiodiniaceae
Source: RNAcentral
UGAAAAAAAAAAUACACACACAGACACAAUUGAGGCAAUACAACCAUAGUUCAACCAUUUAUAUUUCUUCACCUUUCUCUUAAUGAUUUUCCUUCCUUUCCCCUUUGGUACAAUCACUUA